AAAUCUGUCAAAAUAUGUCUCAUUUAAUAGAUAAAAAAAUAGUGCGUGGUUUUGAGCUUCUGUUUCUUCCUGGUGGCCACAUCUCUGCAUAAAUGCAUCCUCCUGUGGUUCAACUUUGGAAGCUCCCUCUUCCCCUGUCCAGCUAACUUUGUCCCCUGACCAUUGAUAUCAUAUGUCUUUGUGCCUCUUUAUGGUCAGCUUGGAAACCGGAUUUUCCUUAAUUAGAAUUCUCUGUGAUAGGCUAGCAGAAAUCUUACAAUUUGGUCAUAAAAAAGCUUCACACACACACACACACACACACACACACAGAAACAUAAGUGCAUUUUAUUAGCAGAAGGAGCAUCUGCGUAUCUGUGGUGGGACCACAGUCAUUUGCAGAACAUGAAGUUCAGGCUACGUUGGGGGUUGACUCAGCUUUCAAGUAGCUAUGGAUGGUAAGAUUAAAAGGACUGCUCUCUCUGGGGACUUUUAAAUAAUGACAUUAUUGGCAGCCUGGAGAGAUGUUUUGGGUUUGAAAUGUAGACAAUUUUAAUAGUCACAUUUAGUCACAUUUAGAAUGGGUGAUGUUUGUAUAAACCCACCCAUGACAAUUGCUACUUCUUUACCUUCCCACCCAGAAUGACAGCAGGAUGCUGGGGAGAAGCAGACUGAAGUAUCCUUUGGCAUCCGAUGUGGCAAUGCUAUAGCUGGUGGCUGGAGAUCAGUGAGGGAUGAAAAAGGGGCAGGGAGUGACCCUAUCAAAUAAUAGUAUUGGCAUACCUGGGCAUUAGACUAGGUCUAGCAAGGGAGUUUUUUUUAAAAAAAAAAUAAAUACAGGUUUCCAGGCCCUAUUCUUGGAGAUUCUGACUCUGCACAUCUUGAGAUGGAAUUCCAUCAGCUGACACCCAUAACUGGCCAGAUUUGGGUCAUUUGGGUUUAGAUGGUGUCAUAUAGACCUGAGCACAAAUCUUCUCUUGGGCAAUUAAUAUCUAUAAAACCUUAGGCAAGAUGCAUUCUCCCUGAAUCUUAGUCUUCUCAUUUAUGGUCAUUAUCCUCUAACCUGUCUCCUUACUAGAUGGCAAGCAACUUGAUGGCAGAAUCUCUGUGUGUUUUCUCUUUGUCACCAGCUCCUUGCACUGUGCUAGGCAGAUGAUAGUAACCUAGUUAAUUGGUUGGGAAUGAAUGAAUUAAUGAAUGAACGAGUAAAUGAAUGUUAGAAGGAAAGGAUAUAUGAUUAAUAUCCCAUAAAUUUGUUGUGUGUAUUAAAUGAGAUAAUCAUGUGUAAUACUCUUGAUGCAGAUUCUAGGACGUUUCCUUUCCCUCUUUUCAUUUCGCUAUUCUAUAAUCCAGCAUGCUCUCCGUGUGGUAGUGUUUUCAUAUCCCUUUGCCUUCCUUUCUCUUUCCGAAAGCUGAAAGCGGUGCUCAGGACACAUGCCUUCUGCUUCCCGCUUCACUUGCAUCUAUCCACAGCAGAUUCUUUGGCAUACAUUAUUAGCUCAUAGAGAUUUACAGACUACCUUUGUAACUCAAAUCCUUCUUGUUUCCCUAAAGAAACUGCUGCUUUUUUCUUAGAACAUCUUAAUACAACAGUAAAGAAGAAAUAAAAAAACAAAGAUUUUAACCAAAUUCGUGUAUUUCAAUUACUACUGUUCUCCCGGUGCCCUCAUUAAUGUAGGUAAGUGAGACAUCUCUGCAUUAUUAUCUUGUCAGAAAACAGCCCCUUUCCCUUUCCCUCAUCUGAUUAGGCAUUCCCUUCUUUCAGAAACCUCAUCCCAUUUGGCUAAUGCAUCUUGACAACUCCUUUAAUAAGAGUGCCUGGUGUUAGCAUUCAGGGAUAUGUAGGAGUUGACAAAAAUCUACCUUGCAUUCUUUCCAUGGCUUGAAAAUAAGACACUUCACCCAGGGAGACACAGCACCUGCAUCUCUUGACUCAAUAUGGCGAGAAAGCUCGAGGGGAGAGAGGGAUGACCGUGGAUUUAACAGAGACCGUUUGAUUUAUUUAUGUUUCUUUUCCUCUCUUCCUUGUGAAAAAGCUAGUGGAGGGAGGAGAAAUUUGGGAAGCAGAAAAUGUUUCAAUCUACCUAAAAAGAGGAAAAAAAUGAACAACAAGAAGAGCUAAGAGAAUAUGAGAAGGCAGCCUCUCUUUGAAAUAGAUUAAAAGCUUUCCUGCAAGAACAUCACAGGACAAAAGCAUCUCUGCAGGACUGGAAACCUGAGCAAAGCACACAAAACCUGACUCUCGCUUAAAGACAGCCCUGGAGGAGGCGUCCCAGAAAGCAGGUGUGACCAGGCACCUAUUCAUCAUUCAGGACAGCUAUGCAGUCAUUUACUUUGGGGACAAGGCUUAUGGUGCUGGUGUCAUCAGGUAUACAACUAGGAAUCUCUUUCCUCCAAAGAACUAACAUAGACCAGGUCAUACAGAAUUCCCAUGAUGCCUUUGUCCCCCACAAUCUCAAGAUCUGAAGCUCCUUGUCCUCUGUGGUCACAGAAUAGUCUCGGGCCCCACUGUGGGCCUGUGGCAAUUAAUCAGUGCUACUUACUGAAUAUUUUGGGCUCUUUGCAUCCUGAGCACUUCCCAUGGUAGGAUUGUACUUCCUCCUUUGUGGGGGAGGCACAUGUGACUAGUGCUGGCCAAUGGGAGGCAAGAGGAAAUGAUGUGUGCCACUUGGUGAUGGGCUAAGCAUGUCAUUUCCAGUGUGAGGCCCCCUGGAGCCCAUUCUUUCCUGUCAUGACAACCAAUAACUUUCCAGGUUGUGUAACUCCUCCACUGGGAUUCCUGAGUGAGUGGAGAAAAGAGGCCCUCCCCACCUGCGAUGGAUAUCUAUGAGUGAGAGAUAGACUUUUGUUGUUUAAAGCCACUGAGAUUAUCAGGCUAUUGGCUAGUUUAAUAUAACAUAACUUAUCCUUUCUGUUACAAAGUCUGAUGCUAAUGUAAAAAAUAACCAGGAAUUGAAGCCUUUUAUUCAAUGGUCUUUUAUUAAUAUAUUUGAAGGCAGACAUUCCACAGGGUACUUUGGGGAAGUGGUAAUAAGGGGAGAGUGAUAAUUCACCCCAGAAUCACUGUGAGCACAGGUAAGACUGUUAACGUGAUGCCAGGCCUCAGAGCAGGGUACUGGGUUGCUAGGAGAGUCAGGAGGACUUAACUCCUGCUAAACAUCACGAAGCACAACAGCACGUGAUUUGCAGCCUGGCAACAGAUGAGGACUCAAUGAACAGCCCCAAAUAAGAGGUCUAACGGCAGAUAUUUCUGUAGCUGUCUUUUGUUGCAGUCUGCUUUUCUUUAUUUAUGCAAAGAACAUAUCCCUGGGGGAAAAAUCAAGUCAUAUCAUAAAUGCAUCAGAGAAGCUUACUAUUUAAGGAAGUCUAUGGUGAAUCCUUUUGUGAAGGAAUAAUCAUCCACCUGAUUUGCAUUUGCUUUGUAAAUGUUGUGUGUCAGGUUUUAUGAAUUUGGGGCACAUCAUAAUGCUUAACAUGAAACAUAGAGUCCAACAGAGCUGAAUUUUAAUCUUAGGUUAGCCAAGACACCUAGUUUGACUUUGUCAUGGAGGGCAGGGUGAGAGGGACAACCGAGGAUGAAUUCUCAUCUAGAAAGUUGCGUGACUUGAGCAUGGAGGUACAAGGUAGAUCAUGGGAAGAGCCCUGGAUGGGAUUAGAUUUCACAUGAGAGAGGCUGAGGAAGGGAAGGAAUAUGGGGAGUGGAAAAGAAAGCAUUGAAUUGGUCAAGCUUAGAUUUUAGAUGAGACCUUAGUAUCGGAAUGAGGAAACUGGGGAGGACACAGCCAGGCCUCUGCUCAGCCCCCAGGGAGGCAAGGCAGGAGAGCGCAUCUGAAUGUCUCGAGUGAGCUUACAGAGGGAACUGGGAUUAGAUGUGUCCAGUCUGCCCACGACUCUGCUGUAUGUGCAUGACACAGUGGAAAGAGCAUGGCCUGCUGUCCAAGACAGAUGGGAGGUUAAAGUCUAACUUUGCCACUUACUACUUACCAGAUGCAUCUCUUUGGGUAAGGUUUGCUUUUUAAAAAAAAUUUUAGUAUCAUUAUUUUAAUCUUUCUGAGCCUCAUUUUAUAUCCAUAUGCUGCAGAUCUUAGUCCCUCCUUGCAGGACUGGUGUGGGGCUCGAGAGCCCGUGCGUGUCAAGUAUCCAGUACUGUAGCUGACCUCAGAUAGGACUCAGGAAAUUAAAACUGUCAAUAUUGUUGACUGGUUAUUUAUUUUUCCUAAGAUCCUAAAUGUUAGAGGUCUGGUAUAGUGUCGAGUCCAUGACGGGGCUUUUAGAGAUAUCUGUGGGAGGGACGAAGCAUGCAGCAGGCCGAGGAGGAUGGGGCAUGGAAAUCAGACGCAGUGCUGAGGGCUAUUGAGCCUCUAUCUGUGAAUCUUUUGCUUUUCCUCCCCAGCAUUACAAAUGCUCCCCAUUUCCCCCUGAAAACAUGUCUGUUUCAUAGAGUUCACAUUGAUCUGAAAGAUUAAAACCAUUUCAGCAACUCCAUGUUUUUCUCUUUUAUUAUUUCUGCCUUGCCACAUCAGGGUCUCUCACCAUUUGAUUUCAAAAACUCAAAGAGCUCUCCCCGUUUUCCCUUUCUUUCCUUUCCCUCUUCUUUUUCUCUUUCCUUUUUUUCCCCUGUUGUCAGAGCUCUGGGAGUUUCUUUUUCCUUUUUAAUUAAGAGUGAAUGAAGGUAACAAAAUGUUUUAUAACUGGAGUGAAUUCACCAGCAGGACACCAGGGCAGAAAUCCAGGCAGUGAAAGAAAGGCAGGCAGACGCAGCCCCUCGCGGUGGGGGGCGCGUCCUGCCCGAGCUCUGCGCCCCGCUGGCUGAUGGCCCAGCCCUCCCCUCCCCGUCAGCCUGGAAGCUUUACCUCUGGUGGAAGUCUCCCUGUCUUUUGUUAGGAAAAGCUACAAUUGGUUAAAAUGUCUGUAAAGCAUUUUUAAACACACAGUGUGCUCCCCUGAAGUGCGCCCGCAAGAGUCCUGCAAGUUAAUUCCUGCCACCCAGGGAAGUGUCCCAAUUUUCCCUCACUUUCACUGACCUACUCCUCAUUGUGUCCCUGGCUGUCUUUCAACUGGGGUGCAGUUUGGCACUGGCGCGGCAGAUCCCGUGGACGAGUCUGCCGGAUGCAUACGCAUGUGCGGACGUAGAGCAAGAUCGAGGCUAAGGGAGAGAGUGUCAGCUGGAGAACCGAGCAGGAGCCCCAGUGCCAUCCUUGCAGCCUUGAGUCUGACGCAUUGCUUUCCCGAGCUCUGUUUUGCACGCCAUACUUGGAAGGCGGCAUUAUGACACUCCUUCCGAGGAAAAAUGUGCUUGUAUUAAACUCCUGGACCAAAUUGCCUCCCUGUUGCCCCCUUUCUUCUUCCUGAGACAUGACGGGUUAUUACAUUUGUGAUUAAAAAAAUCUGUCAUCAGCACGGCUUGCUUUUUCAAUUUUGUUAGAAGGUGAUCCUGAUGCUACGUCUUAGAAGAACAGGAAGGUGGAGAAUAGAGAACGUGUCUUGAUAUUUAAGGAACCCGGCCUGCAGAGAGGGUUGACCCUGUUCUCCGAGUUCACUGCUGUGUGGCUCAGGUGGCUGUGGAAGGUCACUGAGCUGACCACGCACAUUUCGUACCAGUUCUGCACAGCACCAGUGAAGAAAAUGGAUGGGCUGAUUUCUCAAGCCAGUGACUGGAUUGCAGAGGCAAGUCUGUCUGCUGGUUCAUAGGGCACCUUUUAAGAAGUGGGAAACCUGCCCCUUGUGGGCAAAUACAGCUCUGCAAGUGCAAGGCGUGGGGGACCUACAGCAUCUUCCCAUGAAUUCCAUCAAGGAAUGAAGUCCCAACUCUUUAGCGAGCAAGGAGUUCUACAGCCUCCCAUGGCCGCGGGCACCCUUGUGCACUGGACAACCCAUGCAACCUCAUACACAUCAGGCUGGCUCUCCUGCAACCUGGACUGUUUUUGAUCACAGCCAGAGCAAUGUCCAAGUAAUCUGCCAAAUAUUUGUGAAAACAUUAUAUUCGUGUUUAACUGGGGACAAUAGUUUUGUCUUCUUCAUAAAGCAGCAAAUCCCCAGGAGCUGGUCAGGAGCACCAGCUGUUUACUGCCUGCAGAAGCUGCUGCUUAUCUCCUUGUAACCACCUGCCUCUCAGAGAUCAUGUCUUAAUUAACUCAGUGUUAUCGAAACUGAAAUUGUAGCAACAUUGUAAGAUCAAAUUGUAAAUGAAAGAUAAAGGGGAAAGAACUCUGCUGACCAGGGAGCAGCAAGCUUGCUCUGGAGCUGCAGCUAGUUGGCUCCAGGCUGAUUGGUGGCAGCAGCUGAGAUUUACAAUAAUAAAAUCAUGCAUUGUUCCACGUGGAAGGUGUCUUGGAGGUCUUCUAAGCCAGUGGUGUUCAAGUAUUUUUUAUCUCAUGACAUACAACUUAUUCUUCUCAUGUUCAAUAUAUGCUGAUCUUUUCUAUUCUGUCUUAUUUAUUUCAUUUUAGAAAUUACUGGCUAAAAAAUCAUUCAGUUGAUUUCAUGACCUACUACACAUUCACAACAUGAAGAUUGGGAAACAGUGGUCUAGUUGAAUUCCUGAGUUUUAAAGUUAGGGACUGAGGUACAAAGAGGUGAAGUGACUUGCCCCUGGGUAGGUUAUCAGUGGCUAUUGUAUGUAAACCCUUGUCUACUGACUUUUUCCCAGCAGUUCUGUGCCCUGAAAUCUACCAAAUCCUGCCACUGCAGGGCAGCUCCAACAAGAAAAACGAUUCAUAGCCUAAGAAAUAAGACUUCUCAAGACGUUGCUACUUUCAGGAUAAGAGCUGAGCGUCCCUGUAAUACACAGGUAGGCAGGCUCUUUCUCACAUAAAAAGUGUCAGUAGCAACUGUGACUUCGAACACCGCUCUGCAUUCCGAUAAUUGAACAGUAGGGGGCACCAUAGCACCCGGUCUUUUGUGCCUCCUUAAAACCUUCAAACCCAUGUCCCACCCCAUCCCUUCCUUUCUCUUGACCUGCACCCCAGAUUGCAUCUGCUAGAUCAGUUUCUACUCAUCUCAUCUUGAGCCACUCUUCUGAGCCACUGAACUAAAAUAGUAAAUUAAACAGGCAUUCUCAUGGGACAUUUCUUAUUUUUUCUGCCUGUGUUUGUGUAUUUUUAAAGUAUUGAAAGAAGUUUUCCAAGUGAAAGCUAUCUGGUAGAGAACCACACCCAUCUACGGUGGCUAUCACUCUUUGAAGCAGUCUAUGGACCAAAACAGAGUUUGUUUAGUACCUUUGUAUGACAAUGAUUGACUUCAUUGAUAACAUAUGCACUCGGGGUUGUUUUCCCAGCCUGGGGAUUGAUUCAGAGGGUAGUUAGCACCCACAAUGGUCCGGCCACAGGCAGACAAGGAAUCAAGGUGGGGGUGCACGGGCCCACGUGGUAGAUGGCAGAUUGAGUCUGUGUCCGGCGGGCCCCCUUUGAGCUUCACCCACUAGCACAGGCUUCUGUGACGAUCGAAUUACAAGAUACAGAAUGAGGGCGGGGGCUGCGGGCGAUGUCUGUUAACUCCUGGCGAGUCCACUGCUUCAUCGCCGUUUGCCCCCGGCACGUGGGCACAAACUCACUUGAACGGCUGCAUCCCGGAAGCACAGCCCUCUACAGCAAGCUGCUCUCAGCUGUUGCUUUCUUCCCUUCUGGCUGAGGGAAUCCCUCCUUUCUUUCCUCUGAAUGUUCACUACCAGCCCCCCACCCCCUCGAAUACUCAGCACUGAGCUGUGUUGAGAUAGGUGAGGUGGCUAUCAGCUGUGAUUUAAUGACGAGUAUCACUGUCAGAUUUUACAAAACAGAAUUUCAUCAGAUGGUGAAGGGAAGCUUCUGCGCAGAAACUACAGAGGGAGAUUUGACAGCUUUUUCAAUUCAGUUAUCAAAGCAUUUGCAGUUCAAAGCAGGUGAAACAAUAAUGUAAUCUUAGCACUGAAUGCUCAUUUGUAUCUGAGUGUUUCAAUAAAUAAAAUGGUCAGGGAAAUGAAAGCAGACCUGUUGUCUCCAAUCCACUAAAUUUAAUAUCCAGGGUAUUGACUGACAGCUUUUUAUCACCAUAAUUAGUAUGGAUUGUUCCUGAGGCCAUUGAUCAAUCUUCCCUACCUCUAUGGACUCGAGUUGCUGUUUUCUUCCUCUCCUGCCCCCCCCCCUUUAUUUUAAUAUUGAUCUUGCCAGUUGUGUUCCACCGCAGAGAGGAAGCUCACUUAGACAAAAGAAAACUCAGGAUGACAAGAGAUGACUGAGCAGCAGCCAUUUCUAAGUGGCAUCCACCUGUGACGUUGCUCUGACCCAUCCAUGUGACCUUGGGACUUGAUCCUUGGUGCCAGUGACCUUCAGCUCCUCAGUACUGUCACCAGGCACAGUGUCUUCCCCACUGGGUGGAUGCUACUCAGAGACAAGCCAUAGAGCCAAUGGUCAGUAAAUAGCUACCAAAUCAAUGACUCUCUCUUCUUUAAUGUCAUCGAGCUAAAUAGAAGAGUGUGGAAGCACUGAUGAGUUCAGUCGUGUGCGUGUGUGUGUGUUUGUAUGUUUGAUUAUGUAUGGCUGUGAUGUAACCUAUUCCACAUAGUGCAGGCCAGAAACCUGAGACCUUCUUAUUUCUUAUUUCUCACCAAGUUCUUCCAAUUCAAUAUUGUCCUCUUCUCAGCCUUUCUCUCUGUCACCAGGGAUAUACAGUACAUACGUACAUUCCUCACUAUCUCUUGCCUUAACUAUUGCAAUAAUUCACUCUCUCAUUCCCCUGCCUCCUGCUCUGUCUUGCUUGACCCCGGCCUCCCAUCCUCAGGUCCUCCACACAGAUGACGACGGUUUACAUGGAAGGCACACUCUCACGGUACCACCUGGUGUUUCACAUCCAGGCUCCUUGCUGUAGCAAAUAAAGCUUGUUGGAAGCCUCCUCCCUGCCGCUCAGCCUCAUUUCCCCCACCCCUACUGGUACAGCACACUCCAGGAAGACAAAACUGCCAACAGUGCCGCCUAUUUUGUCAGCUGCCUCACACUAAGUCUUUGCUCAUUCUUGACUUCACCUGUGAUAGCCUUUCCAUCCCUUGACUUCUCUUUCCCCUCCCUCAGUAUUUGCUCAGAUGGCAUUUCUUUCACAAAGCAGUCUUUUCACCCCCAGAGCACCCUGAUUAUGUCUUUCUCUCUCUUCUUAGAUUUUACACUUUCUUUUUACGCGCCUCUAUUUCCUACUAGAGGGUAAACCCAUUGGAGACAGGGGCUGUGUGUGUGUGUGUGUGUGUGUGUGUGUGUGUGUUUCUCUGUUCUGUCCACACUGCAAGACACAACUCUUGGCAGCUCGGCUGUGUUUGUUGUACUAGGAAGAAGUAUUCCUAAGAGAAUCAGUGAAUCCCAGUAGCUGGGGCAUCCUUUAUGUCGAAGUGGAUGUGUCAUGGUGCAUGCCACAUGCCAUGCCCUAGAGCCGUGCCACAUAUAAUAACUAGGUAGAGUCUCACUUAUUCUCAGAGUGGGGAGAAGAAAUGGGAAAAUGUCCUUUAUGCAGAUAAGGAGGUAGCAAGGUAUCUUUCUCUGACCUUAAAGAAUUCAGGUGGUGUAGACUGGUCACAUUCCAUAGUAUGGAAGAGUUUUGUAACCUACACACUGAAAUGAAAUUUUCUCACUGGUCUUCCUAAUGGAAUUCCACUCUGCCCCACUUGGUGGUAAAAAUCACACCAUCAGCAUACAUUUUCUGAAGGACAUUUCCGAAGCAGAGUGAAUGCUAUGCAUUUCCAGAAGUGCUGUGGAGCCCAGCGUAACUGAAAAGAGCCCCCAACCCCCAGGGCUGAGGGCCAAGUGGAGCCUGACUUCCGGCAUCCCUGGCCCUACAGCCUGCCCCUGAGGUUACAGGUGUUCGCAGACACCACGUGCCUCUUGUUGAGGCAUUAAACCAAGUACAACUCUUCUGAACUAAGCACAACAGAGCCAAAUUGGACUGGAAAGGCCACAAGUUCCUCAGGGCCCCCGGGGAGCCUGUGGCAUCUACAAUGCAAAUUGGCCCCAUAGAAAAGCAGCCGGAGCCAGGGCCAGCCUUCAGUUGUCCCCAUCAUGCCUGUUGUGGAAGCGCAGUGGCAGAUGUUUCUGGAGGUGACCCCCUGGAUGCACACAGGCGCAGGCAGCACCUCCUCCUCACCAGCCUCUCUCCAGGCUUAUAUAAGACAGAUUUGACAGACUGAUACCAAUUGGCACAUCUUCCCUGCCAGAUUGGAAUCGGGCCCUUCUACCGUCUUUGGGGUCCGUUGCGGCUCCAAGUAAAGCGUACAGAAGGAAUGUGAUGCUUAGCUACACAGCCAGCUUUCCCUUUGCUGCCGUGCUAGCACUUCUAAUCUUGGGCACUUGGUUGCUGUGCGGCCCAUCGCUACAAGUGCAGUCUCCAGCUUGGGAACUUUGAUAUUUGCAGGCAUGUGAAAAUGCCUUUCGUGUGCCUACAGUUGGUCUGGUUAAUUUAUUUGUUUUCUUUUUUAAAGCAAAACUCUUACGUGUGCUUCAGGUUGUAUUGUUAUAUUCCUCCUAACUCGAUCGAGUGUGGCUGGAAUGGGUACCAAUAAUGAAGAAAGACACUCACCUACUAUCUUUUCUUAUCUGAGAUUUCUGCAGCUUUUGCAUGCAGAUGCUUUAGUUUAAAAGGGAUUUCAGUUAUCUUAUUUUGCCUCCUGGGUCCAUGUCUUGACUGUACCACUCACUGGCUGUGAAUUUAGGCAAGCCACUUAGUUUUUCUGAAAUUUCAUUUCCUCAUCUCUGAAGUUCUUUCCAGAUUGGCUUGAGGGUUAAACGAGGUGACAUGGAUGAAACAGCCAAGCAAGGAGCCUGACACAUAGCAGAGGUUCAGUAAAUGCCUUUACCUUCCCUCUCUGUCCCUUCAUAUGGUCUUCCCAGACCCAGAGUCCGUAGGACCUUUGAACUUCCAAAAGCCUAUUAGUAGUAUAGCUCAUUUUAUGUUAUGCAUAUCACAUGCACACCUGUAUAUGCAUAUUGCUUAUGAAGGUGUGUGAGAAUAUAUACCGAAAUAUUUAUAAUAGAUAUUUCUGUAUGGGGAGAUUAUAGGGUAACCUUCCUUCAUUCCUUCCACCCUUUUUUUCUUUCCCUCCUUCCUGUUCAUCUAUAUUUUUUGCCUAUAAUGGGUAUAUUAUAAAAUAGUAAAGGAUACAAAAAUACUAUAGUUCUUUAAAAAUUGAUUUCAUGGGAAGCCAAACGAAGAAGACAGCCUCGAAGUUAAACAGGGAAGCCCAGCUGUGUCCUGUUUUUCACUGCGUCCCACUGCUAGCAUGAGGAAAGAUCAAGCUCACGGUGUGCAGCUGACCACUUGUCUGACUUAGAUUCCUGCCACCUUCCUCCCAGUGUGUGGAAGGAUUCACUCAAGGCUCCGACAGAGCACAGCUGAUGUAGCACGAUUUGGGACCGGAAGUCUGAGCACAACUUAAGGUGCAAUGCCAUUUCCUGACACUGUGCCCUGCUUAUGAGGAUGGAUAGACUUGGAACAUAUUAAUAGAAUACUCCCUAGUGGAGGGAACACUGUAUGUUCAGAAUAAAUAAGUGUGUCUGCUUAUCAAUUUAAUAGUACAGUUAGACCAGGAACCCCUUUGUAUUAGUGCAGAAAAGAGAGCUAUUAAAAUUCCUCUAUGAGGAGAGAAAUCAAAAGAAAGAGAACAGGAACAUAGUAAGCAGAGGGCCACUAGGAAGUGGAAGAAGAGAGAAGAGACAGGAGGAUGGAGCCAGUGGAAGGCUGUAGGAAGAAAGGAGAGUGGGAAGAGGAAACCAGGGUGCUCAGCAGGGAAGCUGUGAUCCUAAGUUUCCAGGG
This is a non-coding RNA of Microcebus murinus (gray mouse lemur), 11739 nucleotides long. The record is from RefSeq and is a predicted model, not a curated record. Lineage: Eukaryota; Metazoa; Chordata; Mammalia; Primates; Cheirogaleidae.